RNAcentral lists this ribosomal RNA (1078 nucleotides) under uncultured bacterium. RNAcentral's name for it is "bacterial SSU rRNA". It matches the Rfam family "Bacterial small subunit ribosomal RNA", at positions 350 to 1426 of the family's 1533-position model. The record is from RNAcentral.
AGCAGUGAGGAAUAUUGGUCAAUGGGCGUAAGCCUGAACCAGCCAAGUCGCGUGAGGGAUGAAGGUUCUAUGGAUCGUAAACCUCUUUUUAUAAGGGAAUAAAGUGCGGGACGUGUCCCGUUUUGUAUGUACCUUAUGAAUAAGGAUCGGCUAACUCCGUGCCAGCAGCCGCGGUAAUACGGAGGAUUCGAGCGUUAUCCGGAUUUAUUGGGUUUAAAGGGUGCGUAGGCGGCCUUUUAAGUCAGCGGUGAAAGUCUGUGGCUCAACCAUAGAAUUGCCGUUGAAACUGGGGGGCUUGAGUAUGUUUGAGGCAGGCGGAAUGCGUGGUGUAGCGGUGAAAUGCUUAGAUAUCACGCAGAACCCCGAUUGCGAAGGCAGCCUGCCAAGCCAUGACUGACGCUGAUGCACGAAAGCGUGGGGAUCAAACAGGAUUAGAUACCCUGGUAGUCCACGCAGUAAACGAUGAUCACUAGCUGUUUGCGAUACAGUGUAAGCGGCACAGCGAAAGCGUUAAGUGAUCCACCUGGGGAGUACGCCGGCAACGGUGAAACUCAAAGGAAUUGACGGGGGCCCGCACAAGCGGAGGAACAUGUGGUUUAAUUCGAUGAUACGCGAGGAACCUUACCCGGGUUUGAACGCAUUCGGACCGAGGUGGAAACACCUUUUCUAGCAAUAGCCGUUUGCGAGGUGCUGCAUGGUUGUCGUCAGCUCGUGCCGUGAGGUGUCGGCUUAAGUGCCAUAACGAGCGCAACCCUUGCCACUAGUUACUAACAGGUGAUGCUGAGGACUCUGGUGGGACUGCCAGCGUAAGCUGCGAGGAAGGCGGGGAUGACGUCAAAUCAGCACGGCCCUUACAUCCGGGGCGACACACGUGUUACAAUGGCGUGGACAAAGGGAAGCCACCUGGCGACAGGGAGCGAAUCCCCAAACCACGUCUCAGUUCGGAUCGGAGUCUGCAACCCGACUCCGUGAAGCUGGAUUCGCUAGUAAUCGCGCAUCAGCCAUGGCGCGGUGAAUACGUUCCCGGGCCUUGUACACACCGAAGGGCGAAUUCCAGCACACUGGCGGCCGUUACUAG